UUCCCCCUCCGAUAGGAGAUUAAUUUCUUUACACAGAAAUCCAAAAUUUGAUGCCAGAGCAAUAAUAAUAAUGUAAACAAGUCUUUUAUUCUUUUAAUCUGGAAUGCAUAAUUUAAUGGCAUAGCGUAUAAAUAAUGAAAAUACCACAUCUACUUUAGACAAUUAAGGGUAAACUGAAGGUAACAUUUAAUGUAGUAUUGAUUGACUAUUUCAACAAAAUGACGGCAGACAUUUGUAUGGAUGCGAGCAGUUAGGAAAAUGCUACCAAAUAUAUCAAUACAGAUUAAGCAGGGAAGGGAUGGAGUAGACUUGGUGGCUCAGAGAACUGGUAAUGGAAUAUGGAGCCUUUCAUCUCCAGCACACUGAUUCAAAUCGGCCCAGGUCAGUCCGUGACUGAAAGUCAUUACCAUCAGAUGGCUCUUCAGUGAAAUGAGUUUGUCGUAAUGGCAGGCUGUCUGUGUCACAAAAUGCACCAUCUAUCAUGACUGACACUCUGUUAUGAUUUCCAGCUGGAAGGUUGGAACGAGAGAAGAUGGGCUCCGUAGUCUCUUCACCUGGGGAGUAGUGGAGGGUAAGGACUAUUUUCAUGGCUUGCUCUGCCGUGGGCUGUGCUGCAGAGGUUUUAAGAACAUGUGAUUUUAGUGACCAUGGUGCUGAACACUAACCUAGCAAAGAGCAAGAGGAAGGUACCUGUGCUGAAGAGACUGCAAUUGAAAUGUAAGGGAAGACGUGAACUGCCAGACAGAAAUGGUAAAAUUGGGAUAACUAAUCAGGCAGUAUCAGUUAGCAUGACAGAAGUAGGCUCAGCACACCAGCAGCAUCAGGUUGCAGUACAUAUCCUGCCAUACUUGAGUUUUUGGAUGGAUUUGAGUGCAAUGCUGUUACAUAGGGGAAAGCGCAACAGGGUUUUAAAAAAACAUGAAUGUAAUGAAAUCAAGCAUACUGGGUAAGUCAGUAGUGAGAAGCAACAUAUUAAAGCUAGGUGAAGAACAAGACAAGAUGGGAAUAAAGGCCUUAAAAAUGAAGGCAAACUGCUUACAGAGUCAGUGUACAGAUGAGAAACAUUGGAGAAAUACAAAGAGGGGAGUGACGGACAAAGGAAUGAGAUAAGGGGAUUAUUUCUUUGAGCAGCAGUUCUGCUUGGAUAUGAGCAGAGCAAGACCGUAUCUGUCAAAGCCACCAAAAAUGACAUUGUUAUGAAGUGACAGGAACAUAAAGACAGUUUUAGGUUGGAUGGGCAAUACUGUACCUUUCGAGUUCUGGAGAAAGAUAUUACCUGAAAAUAGCCUGAAUGUUAGCAUUAAUUAAACUGUUCAUUGGCAACAUUUGGGCUGAAAACCUGAGUGAGAGAUGGGACAUACCUUUUAUUGAUAAUGAGGGCAAAAUGAAUGUACUACCAAAAAUUAUUAACAUUCUUUUACAUCUUUGAGCUUGACCUGGAGGUUAGACAUACACAAGGAGAUACCAGGUUAGACAGUAAACAAGUUAUUGCAUUUUGAGGAGGUAGUUUUAUGUAGUUAGUUUAUGUUGUCAACUCGGAGCAAUGAUGUUGAACAUAUACUCAGCCUUCGAUCUACUGAGCUCUGAAAGUUCAUGAGCUGCUGCAAGGAGCUAUACAAAAGAUUUUUUUUUUUUAAAAAAAAAGGAAGCUUAUUUUCACGUAACUUUGACUGACUUAGCUCAACUUCUAUUCAAAAAUUUUUCGCAAAUCUUAAAGUUGAAAACCACUGCACAAAUGAACAAAAGCAGACUCUUGUCAGAUUGUCAGAGCAGCCUGAAGAUUUUGUGAAGAAGUGAAAGGUGGGAGAAACAGGAAGAGACAGUCAGUGAAAACAGCAGUCCAUACAUUUUCUUUGAAGUUUUGUAAGAAAAAAUAAAACCAUGUUACUUUAAAAAACACUUAGAUUUUAAAAUUCAUACACUCAAGAGAUAGGGCAACAAAUUGAUGAGUGUGCCAAGAUUAAUAAAAGGUACCAGUUAUUCCUCCCUGAUUGAUAUACAUUUCAGUUAUAGUUAUAUAUUCAGUAAUUCUGUUCCUUGUGUAUUAAUAUCCGUGACAGAUUACAAAUAUCCUAGGAUACAUAUACUCCACACGGGCUUCUUCUUAUCCUUCAAAAUGCACCAAGUCUGUAAGCAGUACUUGCUAUCAUCUGGAUGUCAGCUGCCUCUAUAACUCUUUGACCAAUGUGCAUGCUUUCUCUGCAGAAGCCUUGCAAUGGGAAAUAGGCAUGUACUUUUUUUUUUUUUUCCCCCUAAAAAGUGAGGAUUAAGAAUGAAGAAAUUCAGAACAGUGAAACUAAAAAUUGUGAAAAUUUUGCAGUGGUCAUAGAGAUCUUUUUCAAGAAGUCAUAAUUCAUAAUACAGAUUGACUCUUCAAGGUUGCUGGUCCUUGUACUUCAAAGAAUAACUUGGGGAUGGAAUGAGUAUCAUCAUCAUGUGAAACUACAUAGAAUUGAACUUGCGCUGAGUAUAUUUUGCUACAAUAUCUCACAAGGACAAAUUCCUCAGCAGUUAUUUGGGUAACACAAAACCAAGUAUAUGACUACACUUAUUCUGAUAUGUUUUCAUGCUGUGUUUUUGUUUUUGUGGUUUCUUUUUGUUUCUUUGGUUGUUGCGAUUACAUAUUCCAAAAACGUGUAAAAGCCAUGAUAGCUUUUCUGCACAUAUUGUAUUCAAGUAUCAAUACAUGUAACAACUGGUUUACCUGAACUGUAUUAGAACAAGUAAACAAAAUAUUUAAAUGUAUAUGGUUCUUGGUAAGAGUAUAAACAAAUAAAUUGUCAUUUCAAAUUCUGAACACACAGAAAUUAGGAAAAUCAGAGAGAAAGCCCCCUGUGGGUGUGACACUCUCAGUCCCACAGGGGCAGGUACCUCGAGAAGAAAAUGUGUUCAGUGAGCUGGUUGGUUCCAAGGAGUUACAUGCUGUUCAUUGUGAGGACUUUUGGCAGAAAAGGUACAAAAAACGGCAUGCAUCUCUUCAGCUGAAGUUAGGAUUGGCUGUAUUUCUAAGAAAUCUGUUUUGUUUCAGCCCUCCACUAAGCCUGCUACAGAAAUGACUGGAGAAAAUCCCGUGGUUUGGCACACAGGCCAGGCAGAAACUCUGAUGAAUCAACUUUUCUCCAGGCUCGUUCUCCACUCUGUAUUCAUGUCAUCCUUCUAGAUGGGAAAGUUCAGCUGGGUAGGGCUUUCACUUCCCAAGUUGCAGAGGUAAACAAAUGCAAAUAUUUCUUGUUGUGUAUCUUUACUCCAGAGGAGUGUUACACUUGAUUAUCAGCUGCCAUUUUGCAGGAGGCGAGGCACAUCCCUGCCAUACUAAUCAGUGAGAGUCCGAAGAGCCGAGGGCUGAUUGCCUGCACCGAAGUAAUGAAUUAUGUUGCAGAGGACAUGGUGGUGAAAGACUACCUGACAGGGCUAGUAAUUCAUCAUAUGUGUGGUUUUAGGCUCCUAAAUGUAAAUCCUGACUCAGGUGGGCUUCCAGUUAUGAAGUGGGAGUCCAAUUGCUUUGAAUUUUACCCACUAAGCAUGACAUUUCUCACACAGGUGGGCAAAGACCUGUCAGAACUGAGCGGCACUGACGUAUGUGGUUAGCGGGCAUGGUGGUGAUGGUUGGACUAGAUGACCUUACAGCUCUUUUCCAACCUUAGUAACUCUAUAGCUCUAUGAAGUGGGGCUGCAGGCACUCUGCUCGGCCGCACCUGCAGCACCCCCGUCCCACAGCACCGCUCUGCGAACUCCGAGGGGUUCCCAUGGGCAGAGUGCAAGCCACCGGGGCACCUUCAACAUCCACCUCCAGCCGCAGCAGCCGCGCGGCACACCCUACCCCCAGUCCGUCACAGGUCGCAGGCCGCUGCCCGGCGGGGCGGGCGGCAGCGGGAGGCGGGGCAGAGGCGGCAGCCCCGCCGGCACAGGACACCGCCCCGCCGCUGGAGGACGGAGGAGGCGGAGCUCUGCCGCUCGGCCCCAGAAGCUUUGACAAACUCUUCUGGGUGACAGGAACUUCUGACAAUUUGAUUUGAAUUGAAAACGAUGGGUAGGAAAGAUGCCUCUACAGCAAGAACUCCUGUUGACCAAUACAGGAAACAAAUAGAUUUUUUUAGAUGGAGAUUCCGAAGAGCAGAAGAACAGAUACAGACCUUGUGCAGUUCUGGAAUGACCAUGCUGCAUGCUCUGUCUGCUCUGUCUGUCUGCCUAGAAAGCUUUGACCAAAAGUCCAUGCAUCUGUUUCCACUUAUUUCAAGGAAAGCAAGAUUAUAAGAAAACCAGACCAAUGUUAAGAGCAACAAGAUUAAAAGCAGAGGCCAAGAAAACUGCACUAGGCGUGAAGGACACAAGGAAUCUUACACCGAACAGGGUCGGAUGCUCUGCUGUGACUGAAAAGCUUGUCUGAUAGUCUAGGAAGUUGCCCUUGUCCUUGCAGCUAUAUUGGUAUUUUUGUUGGCUUUCUAUGCUUUCUUUUAUCUUAACGUUUCCAAUGAAGUUGACCUUGAUCUGGAUCCAGAUGAAAACUAGCAGAUGCAAUGAAUCUAUCAACAAGAUUUCUUCAGCUUGAACAAGACUACGUAGGAACACAGUCCCUUCACUGUGAGACAGUAAACAAUGCCAUUUCUUGCAGUUCAAAUUUGUAAGUUUUGCAAUACAUCACUUCUACAUUCCAGAUCUCCAAAAUAAAAGAACACUCAUGCCCGGCAAGCAUAUUUGGUUAAUGCCAAAGCCAGGAGCUGCAGUACAAUGUGGGAAGUUUAUUGUUUACAUUAUAUUUUCUCAGGCAGAGAACUUUGAUGUCAAAAGACAGGUGCUAUUAUUAUCUUGGGUAUUGAUGCUGACUUCACAGGAGAAGAAUCUGCCUUGACUAAAUUUAGGAAUCAAAGCUUCCUAAUAGCCAAAUUAGGUUCUUUUUCUUUUCCCAAAAGAAAGUGGAAAUACCAUACAACAAAAAUCUUUUAUUGAUUUGUAUUUAAAGUAUAUCAACCCCUCCUCAUUCUUUGUCUCCCUUUUUAUCUUUCUUUUAAAUGUGUAUGCACAAAUGCGCACACAAAGAUGGAAGAAAUUGUAGGAAAAAAUUAUCUUUUUAGAAGCAGUCUGUCACCUCCUAUAUGGACUUAAUUUUAUGUCAUCCCAGAUUCUGUGUGCCCGUAUAUCUCCAGUAAUCUUUUUCAUUCUUUUGCCAACUGUUCAGCACACAUGUGUUCUGUCAGAAAUGGCACCUGGAUGACAGAAGCUCUAACAUUCGCAUAUGCCUCUGAAACACAGUUCUUUGCCUCCUGUGCUGUCUGAACUAGUGUAAAUAGAAAGUUCAAUCGAUGUUGGGUUUAAUUAGUGUGUUGCUCUAUUAUUAAUAUAAAGUCAAAGUUGUAUUUUAAUUGUACUCUUCCUGCUGGUUGUGAUAUCAACUUGUUCUACCUGUUAGGAGGGUAUUGUAAAAAAAUACAUAUUUCCAGUUAUAAAAUCAUUUUUAUCAUCAAACUAAUGUAUGAAGUUGUGAGUAUUAAGAAUCCUUUCAUGUAUACUUCUAAUAAUUGGGAAAAUAUUGGCUCCGUGUCAUCCUUUAGUUCUUGCAAAGUACCUUUUGGAAUAUGCAGUGUGGAUGAUAUUUCUGAUGCCUUUGAUAACCACAAGCAACGUGAAGAAGUCGGUAUGUCAAAGCAGCUGCAGGGAGCUGUAAAAUUCUGGCUUUACCCUGUUCUGCUUCAGCUUUGGCAUAUUACUGAGCUUAUGGUUAUAAAGGAUUUGUUUUGAUCCUUUGAAAAUGUGGUCAGUCUUUCUCUAGUCUGGUUUAUUUUUGAAACCAAGAAAAGCAUGGACCCAUUGCUGCCGAAUGUGUUAGGGAGUUAGGCAGUUUGACUUCCAGAAAAGUUGCCAUAAUUUUGAAAUUUUAUUAGCAAAUCAGCUUGUCUUAAUCUUAGCUACCAGUUUCAGUUUUAGUUGCAACUGUGGCAUUUACUGACUUGUUCUGGAAAUGCCUCACUGAGAUUCCAUAUAGUGAUUCUGAAGACAAGGGCAUACCAAACCCUAGCAUCUACUAUAAUGGAAAAUAUAUUUCUUUUAAAUUGACACAGUCCCAUUACCACCACUUAAGGAACUUAGAUCAAUAUAGUUAGUUUUUAAACCAUACAGUAACUAUGACCAUAUAUGCUACAAGUCUCUAAGGAUACACUUCUCUCUCAUACUCCUCAUUCACUUUAUGCAAUGCAAAACAACAACUCUAGAAAUAUAGAGUACACCAUCUUCCAAGAAGAAUAUGAAAGAGAAAUAUAAACAUAUACAUGCAAAUAUUUCUCAUUUUCUAAUUACGACUGUUACAGACAUAAAAUAUUAACAUUUAUAUAUUCAUGUGACUGAUAGUCUGCUAAUGCUCGUAUGGAUGACCAAACGGUUACUGACAUGUUGCAUUUAUGGCGAAGCAUUUUCUGACACAUGGCCCGUUUUUCAGUGGAGAGAAAAGCUUAUCACAAACUGUCUUCUUGGAUGUGACAUGCUGCUCGUUUCACCAAUGCCACACCACAUGUCACAGAAGCUACAGACCUCUCCUUUUACUUUGCAUGAGCAGUUUUCUUGCUCCGUAAAAUACGGGAAGGAUUGCUAAGUUAAUGUUUGUGUGUAGCUCCCUGGGUGAUACGUGGUCUGAGAAUGAUGCGUGGUUAUCACCAUCACGUAGGUUGUCUUGUAACUUGCUUUCUGAAUCAGUUACAUUAAAAAGCAUGCUAUUCCUACUGUCAAAUUUAUGAACAUGAUGUUCUUAGAAGAUCUAAUUUCCCAUAAUUAUGACUCAUAGACAAAAUCCAGUGUGCGUAUGUGUGUGACUGAAGCAGCUUUCCUGAUUUGUGGCGUAUCGAUCCAUGUUGCCCACAAGUGCCAUAGUUUGCAGCUUGUCUGUUGGCUUCAUUUCAGUUAGACCUUUUCAUUUACAUGAAAGAUACUCACAUAUAAUGAGAAAUUUUUCUGUUGCUUAGAUAAACUGGAUAAACUUCUGUUCAGUGUACAUAGAAAUACCUGGUAAAUAUCGCAGUAAAUACAAUGGUUCUCUUAUCAGUACAAUAAUUCCUAAUGGGACCAUGUCAAUAUUUUUUAAAGCUAAAAGCUUCUACCUCUCAUCAAAUUUUUCAUCCUUGGUUUUCUAAAAGGCACAAACACAACAAUAUUAGCAUUGAGGUUAUAUUUUGAGCUUUUUCAUUCAUGAAUAUCCUGCAUUCACUGAAAUUACAUCCGAUUUACUCCAAGGGGAUCAAAAUCCAGCCUGAAGUUAUUUCUGUUUUCUACAGCACUGUAGUGUCCAUACCUAUAGGUAUGUCUUGCAAAUAUGUGGUUUAUUUUGCCUUACUUAUAUCUCAGAUUGAAAUAUGCCUCCUCAUUUUUGGGCCAUCUAUCUUUGUAUGAGUUGCUUAGUGCUUGUUUUAAUAAUAAAUGGAUUUUUACUCUCUCUGUGCUUUUA
Long non-coding RNA from Numida meleagris (helmeted guineafowl), 7429 nucleotides. RefSeq lists it as uncharacterized. The transcript has 7 exons. Lineage: Eukaryota; Metazoa; Chordata; Aves; Galliformes; Numididae. The record is from RefSeq and is a predicted model, not a curated record.